GGGGUCAUUUUUUUUGUCUUGGUGUGAUGUUUUUUGUUAUGAGUUUGUUACCAAUAGAAAAAAGAGUAAAAAGGAUACGUGGGGUAUGGGGUUGGCAGGGCAGUGAGGUAGGAGGUGGGGUAGGAUAGGUUGCUAGGAUGUUUAAAAGAAGAUAAAAUUUGUUAGAAUUUGUUAAAUGUGAUAAAGAUUAAAAAAAAUGAUGAGGGGGUUAUUUAUUUUAUUUUCUUGUGGAAAAAUUACCACGCGGAUAGGUUACGUGGUAAGAUGGGGUAAACGGUAAAAAAUGCUUUCGGAGAGGGAUAAAAUUGCGUGUCUACUAUAGUCCAACUCCACAUACUUCGUUCGUUCAUGAAAGACCGAAUUUUUGGCAAUAUGAAGAGCAGCCUGACUGUCGGAAUGAAUAGGAAUCAGCAAAAUCGGUGGUGCGGAUAGAUCAUCCAAGAGUCGCACCAACCAGGUGCUCCACCUAGAGCAAUGUAAAAUCCAUUUACACAUCUUCUUAUAUCCUUGCAAGAACUCCAAUCUACGUCACAAAAGGCCAACAAAUCAAGGAAUGGAUCAGCUGAGAGUAGGAUUCCUUGUACCGGAUCUGCUCGAAGAAGGAAAAGUUUUGCUCCACUGGUUUGCCCAAACCUAUGCUCCAAGCUUAACCACAGAUCUCUAGCUGUUUUGGAUAUAUGACACUGUCCCCUAUGUCCCUUGAUACUGAAUUUAGGAGCCAAGAGGUGACCAUGUGAUUGCAUCGACUCCACUGCUGGUAGGUUGGAUCGUUGACAUCUGGUGGGGUUAGAGUUCCAUUCAUGAAGCCUUGCUUGUUCUUAGCUGAAAGUGCUAUGAACACAGAUCUACGCCAUCCUGGGAAACCUCUUCCAUCAAAUGGAGUAUUGACAAGGUUUUGUCCAGGUGCAUCUUAGGUUUGAAGGUGAUAAGGAUGAUUGACAUCAACACAAUUUCCAUUCCCAGAUCCACUUCUAGAUCCAGUGUUGAUGGAGUUGCUUGGUGUUUCAUCUCCCAUGGUGAUGAUGAUGAAGGUCUGGAGAUUAACAGGGAUUUUAAGAUGGUGGAUUAUUGCAAACUAGUUGGAUUAAUACGAUUGCUUUGAUACCAUAUAUGAAAGAAAAGUAAUAUGAAGAAUGAGUUGCAAAAAUUUUGUACUCCUUGAUUCAUUUGCUUCUUGUGUAUAUAUACAAGGGUUUUGUGUAUAAAGAAAAACAGACUGGAAAAUACUCUUUACACUUGUCCUAUUUCUAUUCCUCUAUUCUAUAACAUAAUUUUAUUCCUCCA
Molecule: long non-coding RNA, 1284 nt
Organism: Capsicum annuum
Lineage: Eukaryota; Viridiplantae; Streptophyta; Magnoliopsida; Solanales; Solanaceae
Exons: 3
Source: RefSeq, a predicted model, not a curated record